AUACGGAGGAUGCGAGCGUUAUCCGGAUUUAUUGGGUUUAAAGGGUGCGUAGGCUGUGCGUUAAGUCAGGGGUGAAAUGCCGUCGCUCAACGACGGAAUUGCCCUUGAUACUGGCGUGCUGGAGGACCGAUGCCGUUGGAGGAAUGAGUGGUGUAGCGGUGAAAUGCUUAGAUAUCACUCAGAACACCGAUUGCGAAGGCAUCUGACGAAUCCGUCACUGACGCUGAGGCACGAAAGCGUGGGGAUAGAACAGGAUUAGAUACCCUGGUAUUCCACGCCGUAAACGAUGAUGACUAACCGUCGGCGAUAGACAGCCGGUGGCCAAGCGAAAGCGAUAAGUCAUCCACCUGGGGAGUACGUCGGCAACGAUGAAACUCAAAUGAAUUGGCGGGG
This 393-nucleotide ribosomal RNA is filed under the name uncultured bacterium. Its description in RNAcentral is "partial 16S ribosomal RNA". It matches the Rfam family "Bacterial small subunit ribosomal RNA", at positions 523 to 918 of the family's 1533-position model. The record is from RNAcentral.